CACGUAGGGGGCAAGCGUUGUCCGGAUUUAUUGGGCGUAAAGAGCUCGUAGGCGGUUCGGUAAGUCGGGUGUUAAACCCCCAGGCUCAACCUGGGGACGCCACUCGAUACUGCUGUGACUUGAGUCCGGUAGGGGAGCGUGGAAUUCCUGGUGUAGCGGUGAAAUGCGCAGAUAUCAGGAGGAACACCAGCGGCGAAGGCGGCGCUCUGGGCCGGUACUGACACUGAGGAGCGAAAGCGUGGGUAGCAAACAGG
Molecule: ribosomal RNA, 254 nt
Filed under: uncultured bacterium
Lineage: Bacteria
Description: partial 16S ribosomal RNA
Rfam family: Bacterial small subunit ribosomal RNA
Source: RNAcentral